UGGGAACCAACGCGAGUGAGCACUUGUAAAACUGUUUUUGAAGAGUGAAGUUAUGAAGAGGUGCUGCAGUGUCAAACAUCUGUUUCAUCCAUUACACUCAAAUGGCAGCAGCGGCUGUACAGUAGGGCAAGAGCCGCCAAUAAAUUAAAAGCCUCUCGUGGCCACGUUCUCCUCACUCUCUUGAGCUGCCCGGCUCUUGUGCCAGUUUGAAUCAUGGAAGGAAGAUGCUAAAUAAAGGUUGGACAUCAUGUACUGCUUACCAUCGCUGUGCGACAUUCCUGCUGCUGUGGGAACGGAGCUGCACCCCUGCUGCCAUGCUCGUUCAGGUCCAGUGGCAGAGAGAUGCUCAAAAGCAGAAACCACUGAAGAGGAUGAAAAGAAACAGAGUGGUUCUGUGUAAAGUCAGGAUGAGCAGAAGCCCUCUCUGAAGCCCUCCCUGGAUUCCCCAAGCACAUCCACUCCUUCUCCUGUGGUGCUGGUUGGGUUGUUCUGUUAGGCAGCUCGGACUUUAGGCUCAUGAGACACAGCUCCAUCGAGUGAGUGUCACUUCUAAUCAGGUUUCCCAGGUUUCCUGAACAAGGCAGGUUUAUCGCCAACGUGCACUUUUAUCCAGAGAAACGUGGCACUAUGCAAAUGGGGGAAACUGCAAGCAUCAUAGAGGUGGCAAUUCAAGGUUCAGCAAGUCCAAAGCAAGGUCUCAAUGUUUCUCAGGCAGAAAGAUCAGGCCAAAGCAGAGAUGUUUUUUCCUAAAAUUAAAAUAUUGCACCACUGAAUUUUGGGGGAGUUUUACACAUGUAUUUUAUUGCUU
This 808-nucleotide long non-coding RNA is filed under the name Phasianus colchicus (ring-necked pheasant). RNAcentral describes it as "lncRNA (ENSPCLG00000008620.1)". The record is from RNAcentral. Lineage: Eukaryota; Metazoa; Chordata; Aves; Galliformes; Phasianidae.